Molecule: ribosomal RNA, 586 nt
Filed under: Suhomyces anneliseae
Lineage: Eukaryota; Fungi; Ascomycota; Pichiomycetes; Serinales; Debaryomycetaceae
Description: eukaryotic LSU rRNA
Rfam family: Eukaryotic large subunit ribosomal RNA
Source: RNAcentral
AUAUCAAUAAGCGGAGGAAAAGAAACCAACCGGGAUUGCCUUAGUAACGGCGAGUGAAGCGGCAAAAGCUCAAAUUUGAAAUCUGGCUCUAUUUUGGGGUCCGAAUUGUAAUUUGAAGAAGCGACUUUGGACCUGGCUCUUGUCUAUGUUCCUUGGAACAGGACGUCACAGAGGGUGAGAAUCCCGUGCGAUGAGAAGCCCAGGUUCGUGUAAAGCGUUUUCGACGAGUCGAGUUGUUUGGGAAUGCAGCUCUAAGUGGGUGGUAAAUUCCAUCUAAAGCUAAAUAUUGGCGAGAGACCGAUAGCGAACAAGUACAGUGAUGGAAAGAUGAAAAGAACUUUGAAAAGAGAGUGAAAAAGUACGUGAAAUUGUUGAAAGGGAAGGGCUUGAGAUCAGACUUUGUUUUUCCAUGGCGCUCUUUCGGGGGUGUCCUCUGGGUCUACAGGGCCAGCAUGGGUUUUGCGGGCGAGACAAGGACUCAGGAAUGUGGCUCUGCUUCGGUGGAGUGUUAUAGCCUGGGGUACUGGUCGCCAUGCGGGACCGAGGACUGCGGUACUAGGAUGCUGGCAUAAUGAUCUUAAGCCGC